Long non-coding RNA from Passer montanus (Eurasian tree sparrow), 390 nucleotides. RefSeq lists it as uncharacterized. NCBI's taxonomy places the organism in Eukaryota, Metazoa, Chordata, Aves, Passeriformes, Passeridae. The record is from RefSeq and is a predicted model, not a curated record. The transcript has 2 exons.
AUUUUUGGUGAUUUUGGGGUGAAAUUCCCCCAUUUCUUUUCUCCUGGUUUUGGGUGAAAUUCCCCCAUUUUUGGGUGAAUUUUCCCCGUUUUUCUCCCAUUUUUCGCUGAAAUUCCCCCGUUCCGGGUCCCCUCUGUGCGUUUCUGCCCCAUUUCCGCCCAAUUUCCCCCAUUUUUUGGCUGAAAUUCCCCAUUUUUGCCCGUUUUCCCCCAUUCCAGGCUCCGCUGGGAGGAGUCGAUGCUGCAGCGCCUUGGCGCCCCCUGGCGGCCGCGGCGCCCGCGGGGGGCGGGGCCUGGCCUCGAUGACGUCACCAACUUCGGGGCUUUCCCCGCCCUCCUGGGAUCGGCCAAUCAGGAUUCGUCGGAGCCGCCGCCGAAAAAGAAGAAAAAA